GCCUUAUACAUGCAAGUCGAACGGUAACAUUGGUGCUUGCACCAGAUGACGAGUGGCGCACGGGUGCGUAACGCGUAUGCAACCUACCUUUUACUAGAGUAUAGCCCAGAGAAAUUUGGAUUAAUCCUCUAUAAUAUCAUUUGAUUUCAUGAUUAAUUGAUUAAAGUUUUAACGGUAAAAGAUGGGCAUGCGUCCUAUUAGUUUGUAGGUGAGGUAACGGCUCACCUAGACUACGAUAGGUAGGGGCCCUGAGAGGGGGAUCCCCCACACUGGUACUGAGACACGGACCAGACUCCUACGGGAGGCAGCAGUAAGGAAUAUUGGACAAUGGACGAAAGUCUGAUCCAGCCAUGCCGCGUGCAGGAUGAAAGCCCUAUGGGUUGUAAACUGCUUUUAUACAGGAAGAAACACUCCGACGUGUCGGAGCUUGACGGUACUGUAAGAAUAAGGAUCGGCUAA
RNAcentral lists this ribosomal RNA (459 nucleotides) under uncultured Flavobacteriaceae bacterium. RNAcentral describes it as "bacterial SSU rRNA". It matches the Rfam family "Bacterial small subunit ribosomal RNA", at positions 46 to 500 of the family's 1533-position model. Lineage: Bacteria; Pseudomonadati; Bacteroidota; Flavobacteriia; Flavobacteriales; Flavobacteriaceae. The record is from RNAcentral.